Molecule: unclassified non-coding RNA, 1419 nt
Filed under: uncultured fungus
Lineage: Eukaryota; Fungi
Description: sequence contains 18S rRNA gene, ITS1, 5.8S rRNA gene, ITS2, 28S rRNA gene
Rfam family: Eukaryotic large subunit ribosomal RNA (bases 476-1419)
Source: RNAcentral
GGAAGGAUCAUUACCGGAGUUAGGGCACUCAGUGCCCCCCCCUCCCAACCUUUGUUUACCAAUCUUCUGUUGCUUUGGCGUGGCUGCACGCCAGAGAACCUACUCUAUUCUGUUUUGUAACUGCUGUCUGAGUAAUAUUUGAAUUAAUGAAAACUUUCAACAACGGAUCUCUUGGUUCCCGCAUCGAUGAAGAACGCAGCGAAAUGCGAUAAGUAAUGUGAAUUGCAGAAUUCAGUGAAUCAUCGAAUCUUUGAACGCACAUUGCGCCCUUGGGUAUUCCUAGGGGCAUGCCUGUUCGAGCGUCAUAAGCAAAACUCGAGCCAUUUUUGCUUGGUGUUGGGCUUGUCGUCACGUAUCCGUGGCGUGCCUGAAAGUUCAGGGCAGUUGCCUCUGGACCUCAAAGUGUAGUAGAAUUCUCGCUUGUUUUUCAGAAAGCAACUAGCCAGCCUCACAGGAGGUGCCAAAAGAGCAUAUUUGACCUCGGAUCAGGUAGGGACACCCGCUGAACUUAAGCAUAUCAAUAAGCGGAGGAAAAGAAACCAACAGGGAUUGCCUCAGUAACGGCGAGUGAAGCGGCAACAGCUCAAAUUUGAAAUCUGGUACCUUUGGUGCCCGAGUUGUAAUUUGCAGAGGAAGCUUCGGGUUUGGCCCCGGCCUAAGUGCCUUGGGACAGGUCGUCAUAGAGGGUGAGAACCCCGUAUGCGGCCGGAGGUCUACGCCCAUGUGAAGCCCCUUCGACGAGUCGAGUUGUUUGGGAAUGCAGCUCAAAAUGGGUGGUAAAUUUCAUCUAAAGCUAAAUAUUGGCGGGAGACCGAUAGCGCACAAGUAGAGUGAUCGAAAGAUGAAAAGCACUUUGGAAAGAGAGUAAAAAGUACGUGAAAUUGUUGAAAGGGAAGCGCUUGCAAUCAGACUUGCCCUCUGCUGAUCAACCGGUGUUCUCCACCGGUGCACUCAGUUGAGGUCAGGCCAGCAUCGGUUUGGGUGGUUGGAUAAGGUCCAUGGGAAUGUGGCUCCUCUCGGGGAGUGUUAUAGCCCAUGGAUAAUGUGACCUGCCUGGACCGAGGACCGCGCCUUGUGCUAGGAUGCUGGCGUAAUGGUUGUAAGCGACCCGUCUUGAAACACGGACCAAGGAGUCUAACAUCUAUGCGAGUGUUUGGGCGUUAAACCCAUGCGCGUAAUGAAAGUGAACGGAGAUGGGAACCCUCUGAGGGUGCACCAUCGACCGAUCCUGAUGUUCUCGGAUGGAUUUGAGUAAGAGCAUAGCUGUUGGGACCCGAAAGAUGGUGAACUAUGCCUGAAUAGGGUGAAGCCAGAGGAAACUCUGGUGGAGGCUCGCAGCGGUUCUGACGUGCAAAUCGAUCGUCAAAUUUGGGUAUAGGGGCGAAAGACUAAUCGAACCAUCUAGUAGCUGGUUCCUGC